UAAAAACCACUUGAAACUAUUUAUUAAUUAAGUUUUUCCCUGUUUCCUGCAACAUCAGCCAUCGAAAAUCGUCGGCACCCCAAUGCAGGAAUUUAGGAAUUCAUCUAAUUUCUUGUUUAAUAUGAAAGGAAUUUGCAAAGUAAGAGGUGGAGCCGGAAGAUUUAUAGUUAAUUUUUAUAAGAUUAAAUAUACGUUAUUAGGAUGUUUUCUUUAGCCUUUU
Bactrocera tryoni is the source of this 220-nucleotide long non-coding RNA. RefSeq lists it as uncharacterized. The transcript has 2 exons. Lineage: Eukaryota; Metazoa; Arthropoda; Insecta; Diptera; Tephritidae. The record is from RefSeq and is a predicted model, not a curated record.